ACAACUUGAGAUGUCUUUCAGUGAUGAAUCAGAACCACAUAGAGAUCAUGUUUUCAAUAGACUCAAUCGCCUCUUUUCUCCACAGGGCACUAGAACGAUUCAUAUUCGCUCGCUGCACGUACAUGUAUGGAGGAAAAGCACUUGUGGUUUAGGCCUCACAUGACGUAGCUUGUAUUAGAACUUAGCCGGACCAAAUAGCAACAAUUGCUUGAGUAUUAGUUGAUCUAGCAAUUGCUAGAGUAUUAGUUGAUCUUACAAUAGCUAGAACUUGUCGUUUUCAAGAGCUUGUAUUAUUAGUUGCUUGUGUUAUUACUAGCUAGAACUUAGCACAACUGCAUUUCCACACAUAUAUUAGAUAAUAUUAUUUCUUGGGACAAGUAAAUAUGUAAGCCAAUUUGACUAGGCUGGAAAAUUAAGGAGCAGGUAAAAGAGGAGGUUUUUGACACGCUGCCUUGCAAUCAUUCAUACUCCAGUAGCAGCUGUCAGCUUCUGCCAAACAACAGAAGCAAUCUUCUUUAUCACCCUUGCAUCGCUUCCUGGCGCAUAGCCCGUUUGGUAAAUUGAUCUUCUCGCUAUCCGUGGCAUCUAUGAUUCGGCCUAGGGGAUAACAAGCCAACAUUUGUUAUGUGAAAAGAAAAUUUGUGAAGAAUAAAUAAAGGCACAACAGAUUAGACAAUAAACAAAUGAAAAAGGUCCUUAGUGCGGGAGAACUGAAAAAAAUUAACAGUGCAUAAGCAAAUGGUGUGCUUACAGUGAGCAACAGUAGCAGAGCAUACGAGAUACAGAGAGAAUAGGGCUGCUAGUGCCAGGAUGUGAAUCGUGUGCUUGUCCAUACCCCGGCCGAUACAGCACUUGCUAAUUAAGCAAUAUUUAUUUGUUCU
RNAcentral lists this long non-coding RNA (881 nucleotides) under Hordeum vulgare. Its description in RNAcentral is "long non-coding RNA (HVUL_LNC002432)". Lineage: Eukaryota; Viridiplantae; Streptophyta; Magnoliopsida; Poales; Poaceae. The record is from RNAcentral.